ACGGCUCAGUAACACGUGGCUAACCUACCCUUGGGACGGGGACAAUCCCGGGAAACUGGGGCUAAUAUCAGAUAGGAGAGGAGGCCUGGAAUGGUUCCUCUCUCAAAGGGUUUUGAGACCAUGCUUCUCAACGCCGCCCAAGGAUGGGGCCGCGGCCGAUCAGGUUGUUGGUGUGGUAACGGCUCACCAAGCCUAUAACCGGUACGGGCCAUGAGAGUGGGAGCCCGGAGAUGGGCACUGAGACAAGGGCCCAAGCCCUACGGGGUGCAGCAGUCGCGAAAACUCCGCAAUGCGCGAAAGCGUGACGGGGCUAUCCCGAGUGCCGUCCGCUGAGGAUGGCUUUUCUCCGCUGUAAGGAGGCGGAGGAAUAAGGAGAGGGCAAGACUGGUGUCAGCCGCCGCGGUAAUACCAGCUCUCCGAGUGGUAGGGAUGAUUAUUGGGCUUAAAGCGUUCGUAGCCGGCCCAGUAAGUCUUUCGUUAAAUCCAGCGAUUCAAUCGUUGGACCGCGGAAGAUACUGUUGGGCUAGGGGGCGGGAGAGGUCGACGGUAUUCUUGGGGUAGGGGUGAAAUCCAGUAAUCCCAGGAGGACCACCAGUGGCGAAGGCGAUCGACCAGGACGCGCCCGACGGUGAGGGACGAAAGCUGGGGGAGCGAACCGGAUUAGAUACCCGGGUAGUCCCAGCCGUAAACGAUGCGGGCUAGGUGUUGGAGUGGCCAAGUGCCACUUCAGUGCCGCAUGAAAACAAUUAAGCCCGCCGCCUGGGGGAGUACGGCCGCAAGGCUGAAACUUAAAGGAAUUGGCGGGGGAGCACCACAAGGGGUGAAGCUUGCGGUUCAAUUGGAGUCAACGCCGGG
Molecule: ribosomal RNA, 855 nt
Filed under: uncultured archaeon
Lineage: Archaea
Description: bacterial SSU rRNA
Rfam family: Archaeal small subunit ribosomal RNA
Source: RNAcentral